This 297-nucleotide unclassified non-coding RNA is filed under the name Conlarium sp. Its description in RNAcentral is "partial contains 5.8S ribosomal RNA, internal transcribed spacer 2, and large subunit ribosomal RNA". The stretch from base 1 to 71 matches the Rfam family "5.8S ribosomal RNA", at positions 84 to 154 of the family's 154-position model. The record is from RNAcentral. Lineage: Eukaryota; Fungi; Ascomycota; Sordariomycetes; Conlariaceae.
GUGAGUCAUCGAAUCUUUGAACGCACAUUGCGCCCAUUAGUAUUCUAGUGGGCAUGCCUGUUCGAGCGUCAUUACAACCCUCAAGCGCUGUAGUGCUUGGUGUUGGGGCUUCCGCUGGUUGACAGCAGGCCCUGAAAGCUAGUGGCGGGCUCGCCGUGACCCUGAGCGUAGUAAUUUACACCUCGCUUCUGUGGCUCUCGGCGGGUUCCCAGCCGUGAAACCCCCAAAUUUUCACAAGGUUGACCUCGGAUCAGGUAGGAAUACCCGCUGAACUUAAGCAUAUCAAUAAGCGGAGGA